This 2908-nucleotide ribosomal RNA is filed under the name Citrobacter freundii. RNAcentral describes it as "23S ribosomal RNA". It matches the Rfam family "Bacterial large subunit ribosomal RNA". The record is from RNAcentral. Lineage: Bacteria; Pseudomonadati; Pseudomonadota; Gammaproteobacteria; Enterobacterales; Enterobacteriaceae.
GGUUAAGCGACUAAGCGUACACGGUGGAUGCCCUGGCAGUCAGAGGCGAUGAAGGACGUGCUAAUCUGCGAUAAGCGUCGGUAAGGUGAUAUGAACCGUUAUAACCGGCGAUUUCCGAAUGGGGAAACCCAGUGUGAUUCGUCACACUAUCAUUACGUGAAUACAUAGCGUAAUGAAGCGAACCGGGGGAACUGAAACAUCUAAGUACCCCGAGGAAAAGAAAUCAACCGAGAUUCCCCCAGUAGCGGCGAGCGAACGGGGAGCAGCCCAGAGUCUGAAUCAGCUUGUGUGUUAGUGGAACGGUCUGGAAAGUCCGACGGUACAGGGUGAUAGUCCCGUACACCAAAAUGCACAGGUUGUGAACUCGAAGAGUAGGGCGGGACACGUGGUAUCCUGUCUGAAUAUGGGGGGACCAUCCUCCAAGGCUAAAUACUCCUGACUGACCGAUAGUGAACCAGUACCGUGAGGGAAAGGCGAAAAGAACCCCGGCGAGGGGAGUGAAAAAGAACCUGAAACCGUGUACGUACAAGCAGUGGGAGCAUCCUUUUGGGUGUGACUGCGUACCUUUUGUAUAAUGGGUCAGCGACUUAUAUUCUGUAGCAAGGUUAACCGUAUAGGGGAGCCGAAGGGAAACCGAGUCUUAACUGGGCGUUAAGUUGCAGGGUAUAGACCCGAAACCCGGUGAUCUAGCCAUGGGCAGGUUGAAGGUUGGGUAACACUAACUGGAGGACCGAACCGACUAAUGUUGAAAAAUUAGCGGAUGACUUGUGGCUGGGGGUGAAAGGCCAAUCAAACCGGGAGAUAGCUGGUUCUCCCCGAAAGCUAUUUAGGUAGCGCCUCGUGAACUCAUCUUCGGGGGUAGAGCACUGUUUCGGCUAGGGGGUCAUCCCGACUUACCAACCCGAUGCAAACUGCGAAUACCGAAGAAUGUUAUCACGGGAGACACACGGCGGGUGCUAACGUCCGUCGUGAAGAGGGAAACAACCCAGACCGCCAGCUAAGGUCCCAAAGUCAUGGUUAAGUGGGAAACGAUGUGGGAAGGCACAGACAGCCAGGAUGUUGGCUUAGAAGCAGCCAUCAUUUAAAGAAAGCGUAAUAGCUCACUGGUCGAGUCGGCCUGCGCGGAAGAUGUAACGGGGCUAAACCAUGCACCGAAGCUGCGGCAGCGACACUAUGUGUUGUUGGGUAGGGGAGCGUUCUGUAAGCCGUUGAAGGUGUAUCGUGAGGUAUGCUGGAGGUAUCAGAAGUGCGAAUGCUGACAUAAGUAACGAUAAUGCGGGUGAAAAACCCGCACGCCGGAAGACCAAGGGUUCCUGUCCAACGUUAAUCGGGGCAGGGUGAGUCGACCCCUAAGGCGAGGCCGAAAGGCGUAGUCGAUGGGAAACAGGUUAAUAUUCCUGUACUUGGUGUUACUGCGAAGGGGGGACGGAGAAGGCUAUGUUAGCCGGGCGACGGUUGUCCCGGUUUAAGCAUGUAGGCGGAGGUUCCAGGUAAAUCCGGUACCUUUUUAACGCUGAGGUGUGAUGACGAGGCACUACGGUGCUGAAGUAACAAAUGCCCUGCUUCCAGGAAAAGCCUCUAAGCAUCAGGUAACACGAAAUCGUACCCCAAACCGACACAGGUGGUCAGGUAGAGAAUACCAAGGCGCUUGAGAGAACUCGGGUGAAGGAACUAGGCAAAAUGGUGCCGUAACUUCGGGAGAAGGCACGCUGAUAUGUAGGUGAAGUGAUUUACUCAUGGAGCUGAAAUCAGUCGAAGAUACCAGCUGGCUGCAACUGUUUAUUAAAAACACAGCACUGUGCAAACACGAAAGUGGACGUAUACGGUGUGACGCCUGCCCGGUGCCGGAAGGUUAAUUGAUGGGGUUAUCCGUAAGGAGAAGCUCUUGAUCGAAGCCCCGGUAAACGGCGGCCGUAACUAUAACGGUCCUAAGGUAGCGAAAUUCCUUGUCGGGUAAGUUCCGACCUGCACGAAUGGCGUAAUGAUGGCCAGGCUGUCUCCACCCGAGACUCAGUGAAAUUGAACUCGCUGUGAAGAUGCAGUGUACCCGCGGCAAGACGGAAAGACCCCGUGAACCUUUACUAUAGCUUGACACUGAACACUGGUCCUUGAUGUGUAGGAUAGGUGGGAGGCUUUGAAGUGUGGACGCCAGUCUGCAUGGAGCCAUCCUUGAAAUACCACCCUUUAAUGGCUGGUGUUCUAACGUGGACCCGUAAUCCGGGUUGCGGACAGUGUCUGGUGGGUAGUUUGACUGGGGCGGUCUCCUCCUAAAGAGUAACGGAGGAGCACGAAGGUUAGCUAAUCCUGGUCGGACAUCAGGAGGUUAGUGCAAAGGCAUAAGCUAGCUUGACUGCGAGAGUGACGGCUCGAGCAGGUGCGAAAGCAGGUCUUAGUGAUCCGGUGGUUCUGAAUGGAAGGGCCAUCGCUCAACGGAUAAAAGGUACUCCGGGGAUAACAGGCUGAUACCGCCCAAGAGUUCAUAUCGACGGCGGUGUUUGGCACCUCGAUGUCGGCUCAUCACAUCCUGGGGCUGAAGUAGGUCCCAAGGGUAUGGCUGUUCGCCAUUUAAAGUGGUACGCGAGCUGGGUUUAGAACGUCGUGAGACAGUUCGGUCCCUAUCUGCCGUGGGCGCUGGAGAAUUGAGGGGGGCUGCUCCUAGUACGAGAGGACCGGAGUGGACGCAUCACUGGUGUUCGGGUUGUCAUGCCAAUGGCAUUGCCCGGUAGCUAAAUGCGGAAGAGAUAAGUGCUGAAAGCAUCUAAGCACGAAACUUGCCCCGAGAUGAGUUCUCCCUGAGACUUUAAGUCUCCUGAAGGAACGUUGAAGACGACGACGUUGAUAGGUCGGGUGUGUAAGUGUAGCGAUACAUUGAGCUAACCGAUACUAAUGAACCGUGAGGCUUAACCUU